This 104-nucleotide small nucleolar RNA is filed under the name Olea europaea subsp. europaea. Its description in RNAcentral is "Plant small nucleolar RNA R71". It matches the Rfam family "Plant small nucleolar RNA R71". Rfam says of the family: R71 is a member of the C/D box family of snoRNAs containing the C (UGAUGA) and D (CUGA) box motifs. Multiple nearly identical copies of this snoRNA have been identified in Arabidopsis, and it is thought to function as a 2'-O-ribose methylation guide for 18S ribosomal RNA. Lineage: Eukaryota; Viridiplantae; Streptophyta; Magnoliopsida; Lamiales; Oleaceae. The record is from Rfam by way of RNAcentral.
UAACUAUGGUGGAAGCAGAGGGCUUGCAAUUCUUUGUAUCUUUCCCACGCUUAAUAUAAAGUUUCACCCUCCUUUUGAGUAAAAGAAGAUAUUUAUUUUUUUCA